UACGUAGGGUGCGAGCGUUAAUCGGAAUUACUGGGCGUAAAGCGUGCGCAGGCGGUUUUGUAAGCCAGAUGUGAAAUCCCCGGGCUUAACCUGGGAAUGGCAUUUGGGACUGCAAGGCUUGAGUGCGGCAGAGGAGACUGGAAUUCCCGGUGUAGCAGUGAAAUGCGUAGAUAUCUGGAGGAACACCGAUGGCGAAGGCAGCCUCCUGGGCUAGUACUGACGCUCAUGCACGAAAGCGUGGGGAGCAAACAGG
Molecule: ribosomal RNA, 253 nt
Filed under: uncultured bacterium
Lineage: Bacteria
Description: partial 16S ribosomal RNA
Rfam family: Bacterial small subunit ribosomal RNA
Source: RNAcentral